UACAGAGGUCCCAAGCGUUGUUCGGAUUCACUGGGCGUAAAGGGUGCGUAGGCGGUUGUUUAAGUCUGACGUGAAAUCUCCGAGCCUAACUCGGAAACUGCGUUGGAAACUAUUCAGCUAGAGGAAUGGAGGGGAGACUGGAAUACUUGGUGUAGCAGUGAAAUGCGUAGAUAUCAAGUGGAACACCAGUGGCGAAGGCGAGUCUCUGGACAUUUCCUGACGCUGAGGCACGAAAGCCAGGGGAGCAAACGGG
Molecule: ribosomal RNA, 253 nt
Filed under: uncultured bacterium
Lineage: Bacteria
Description: partial 16S ribosomal RNA
Rfam family: Bacterial small subunit ribosomal RNA
Source: RNAcentral